This 646-nucleotide ribosomal RNA is filed under the name Psoroma capense. Its description in RNAcentral is "partial large subunit ribosomal RNA". It matches the Rfam family "Eukaryotic large subunit ribosomal RNA", at positions 1 to 657 of the family's 3401-position model. The record is from RNAcentral. Lineage: Eukaryota; Fungi; Ascomycota; Lecanoromycetes; Peltigerales; Pannariaceae.
GGUUGACCUCGGAUCAGGUAGGGAUACCCGCUGAACUUAAGCAUAUCAAUAAGCGGAGGAAAAGAAACCAACCGGGAUUGCCUCAGUAACGGCGAGUGAAGCGGCAACAGCUCAAAUUUGAAAUCUGGCUCCGUGCGGGGUCCGAGUUGUAAUUUGUAGAGGGUGUUUCGGGUGCGGUGCCGGUCUAAGUUCCUUGGAACAGGACGUCAUAGAGGGUGAGAAUCCCGUCUGCGAGUCGGCCACCAACCCCGGGUGAAACCCCUUCGACGAGUCGAGUUGUUUGGGAAUGCAGCUCAAAAUGGGUGGUAAAUUUCAUCUAAAGCUAAAUACCGGCCAGAGACCGAUAGCGCACAAGUAGAGUGAUCGAAAGAUGAAAAGCACUUUGGAAAGAGAGUUAAAAAGUACGUGAAAUUGUUGAAAGGGAAGCGCUUGCGACCAGACCUGUUCCCGGGCGAUCAUCCGCCAUUCGUGGCGGUGCACUCGCCCGGACGCAGGCCAGCAUCGGUUUAGGCGGCGGGACAAAGGGCCCGGGAAUGUAGCUCCCUCCGGGGAGCCUUAUAGCCCGGGUCGCCAUGCCGCCCGCCCGGACCGAGGACCGCGCUUCGGCUAGGAUGCUGGCGUAAUGGUCGUAAGCGACCCGUCUUGA